AUUACCAGCAAUGCUACUAGUGACUUAAAUAUAAAAGUUGACGGGCGUGCUAUCGUGCGUGGAAAUGAAGGUGUAUUCAUUAUGGGGAAAACCAUUGAAUUUCACAUGGGUGGUAAUAUGGAGUUAAAGGCAGCAUUAUGAAAAACCUACAUUUCAGAGUCCUAACAAUGCUAAUAGGUCUUUAUUUUACUGGAACAAUGACAAACCCAUCCAGAAAAAGCAGUCUUUUAUUCAGUUCGGAGUGCCAAUGGAAUGGGUAUCUUCUGACAAAUUGUUCCUUUACCGGAAAGCAUGAUAUCCAUGUGGACAAACCCCAGCCAGCAGCCACAGUGGACACAAGGGCCAGUUUCCUUAGGGCUCUCUUACGGUCACACAUGAGAAAAGAAGACUGGAAUACAAAACAUCUGGACCUCAGUAACAAUCGCAAUCCGAACAUCACCUUAAGCCCUCUUGCACACUUCCACGCUUUGGAAGUACUAAACCUCAGCAACAGUUCCCUCCUCUCCAUCGCGUUGGAUCUACGCAGUGCUAAGUCCUCGUGGGGGAAACGCCACAGAAGCAGCUGGAGGCACGGGCUUCCGUUUCUAAAGUUGUUAAUUCUUCAAAGAAACAAACUCGCCAACAUUCCCAAGGGACUGUGGAAACUGAAGUCAUUACAGAGUCUGGAUCUGUCCUUCAACGGGAUAGCGCAGAUCGGUUUGUCUGACCUUCGGCACUGCCUGCGGCUGGAAAACCUCUACUUAAAGAGCAACAAGAUAUUCAGGAUUCAUCCAGAAGUCUUCAAGGACCUCAAGAAGUUACAGGUGGUAGACCUCAGCAACAAUGUUCUGACCACCAUCCUACCCAUGAUGGUCAUUGCUCUGGAACUUCCCCAUCUGGAGGUGGACUUGGCUGAUAACCAACGGGAGUGUGACUAUAGUGUGGCAGCCUUCCAAAAGGUCCUUUCUGAAUCCUGGAGGAAAACAUGGAAUGUCAUCUGCAGUAAGUCUGUAGGGAACGAGGAGGCAGACCAGUGGACCCUCCAAAGUGGAAUUUCCAGGGAGACCCACCUUCCUCAUGGUCCUGCGAAGCCUGUGAAAAGCCUCCGGCCAGGCCAAUCCAAGAGGCCCCAGGCAGGCUGGUUUGAGCGCCCUGGCACCGCAUGGAGGAAGGGCCCCGCGGGCGCCCCGGCCAGCGAGAGGCUGCGCCGGCUGCCCAGAGGGGCCAGGAGCCCCAGGGAUGUGCCCACGGCUGGCAGACAGGGAGACACUUCCCAGGACCUCGCCCUGGCCGUCUGCCUGGCCGUGUUCAUCACGUUCUUCGUGGCUUUCUGCCUGGGGGCUUUCGCCAGGCCUUUCAUUGACAGACUGUGGCACCAGAGAUGCGCACGCAAAAGGCCCAGCUCCGACAAUGGGGACAACGCGGAUAACGCAUACUCAAACAAGGGCUUCUGUGACGACACUGAAGCUGCAGGGAACGCCCAGCACCUGAGGACAGAUCGGCCUCUCCAAGAGCCUGCCAGCCCCCGCGCUGCUGUCAUCCCCAACGGACCUCUAGGAGAAUGCGGAAGGGAGCCUGGCAGGUGGCAGAGCAGGGGGCCGUGUGGGGACAGCAGAGGGCCAGGAGGUGGGAAGGAGUACAUACCUCUGAGUGACAGCGCAGCCCAUUCCAUUCUCCAAGGACAGCCGAAUGCUGGUCAUAACCAACGAAUUCCAGCAGGGCAGGAUCACAUCCACAGGAAAGAUGCUCUCGGGGAAGUAAAUUAUGCAACUCUGGCCCAGGAAGGUUCUCCCAGCGUGCAUUCAGCGGGCGCCCCUGUGCGAGCUGGCAGAUUGCAGAUUGUCUCUGGCUCAAUUCACAGUGACUCGGGUGAGUUAAAUGCACCCCUCUCGGGAGAAAUGGCAGCUUCUCUCUCUCAAAUGCAAACGCAUACGAAAGCACAGGGGGCUGGAGAGAAUGAGCGGUUACCUUCGGAGUUUUCCAAGGAAAUGCAAGUGGGCACUUACCUGAAUUUGCAGGACACACAGCAGCAAAGCCUCCAGGGGGCCAGUGCUGAGGAAGGGCUGCCCGCCUCCCACGGUGCGGUCCCACUCAGUGACGUGGAACCAGGGCAGAAACAUGCUCCUCCUGACCCUCAGUACCCAUUGGACAGCAGCUACGAUUCUGAUUCUGAUGAAGGGUCUUUAUUUACUCUAAGUUCAACAAGUUCAGAGGAUGCAAGAAAUGUGACUGAAGAAGAGGCACAUGGUGAGAAGAGCCACAAAGCCAGUGAGCCCCCGGAGGAUGAGAACUCGGGGGUGAGGAAGGACAAUGUUACAUCAUCAGAGGAUCCUAAGGACAAUAUCCCCUGCCAGAAGAUUCUGGAGAAGUGUGAGAAUCAGGAGGACUGUUUUAAAAACCCUCUCAUUUCUGGUCCAGACUCAGGUUUGUGUGAGACUCAUCUGGAAGGUGCCUCUAACACCAACACAUUUGAGGGUCCACUGACCGUGCCUGGAUCACUGGGCAGUAACAGUCCCUCCGGGGAUGAGACCCCAGGCAUGGUCAUCUGCGAUUAUGCCGCAGCUCUCCAAUCUGAGGCCGUAGAGUGGCAUUACUCACUUAGAGACUUAGAAUUUUUAAAUGUAGAUGUUGUACCACAAACACCACCAUGGUCUGCUGAAGUUCCCUCAGAUCCUGACCAGAGCGACUCUCGUGAAAGAGACUCAGACAUUUAUAAAUAUGAACCUUGCCUUCAGGAAAUGAACACAGCUCAAAAUGAUGUUCCUCUCAAGAUCACUGCCGGUGAAAACUUAGGAGCCUCACAACAAAAUUCGGAAGGGGGCAACAUGAAUCCCCACCUGACGGACACUGAUGCAAAUGAGGGGUUGGCAUGCACUCUUGAGGACUCGGAUUCCAGAAAGGUUAGAAGCCGCACACAAUUGUUACAAUCCUGUAGUGAUGAACCGGCUCUUCAGUGUGAAAGAGGAGAGCGGGGUUAUGCUGAAAGCCAUUCCAGGAGCCAGGUGCCAUUAUUACAAGAGCUCCCAAGUGAAACCAGUUUACCAGGAACGCAGGAGCCCUUCAGUGGCAGAGAUUGGGGUAAAUACUCAGAAGAGAACCUGUUGCAGUUAGAAAAUAUUCAAAUGCAGACCCAGGGCCACCUAAUGGGGGCUGGCUUGCUGUAUGAGGACCUACUCUACUACGAUGUGGAACUUGAAAAUCAAAGGGAAUUCAAGUAACAUUUUGAGUUCAGAUUGAAGCCCUUAGAACCGCUGAACGGAUUUUUUUUAAACAAAUUCCACACAAAGAACAGCACAGCUUUCUGGACGGUGAUCGUGAAACUACAAAGUUAGGGGGAUUCAGAGCAACUCUAAAUAUUUGUUCGCUUCUGGUAAUGCAGCAUAAACACCACAGGCAUUGCAGAAUUUCUAAAGCCUCAUCGCUUUCUGGCAAUAAAAGUUCCACACCAGGCUAGAACAUUACCCCAAGAAUGGAAUCAGCUUCUCUCCAAAGAUUCCUGCUUUCUCUUAGCAGAGAAUAAAGAGUUCCGGUUUUUCUGCCAUAAUAUGAAAUUUGCAUUUCUGAAAAAUCUCCCAUUCUGUAAAGUCACACAUUAAAAGCCAUGGGACUUUGGGACAAACAAAGUCGGGGAGACCACUCAAACGUUAAGUGACCUUGGAACCAGAGCACUAAGGAAAACAGUCAAUGGAAGACAGUCACCUUGGAUGUCGCAGGCAGGUCUCUCGUGAUUUUUGUCUGUGAGCUCCCUUGGGGGUCUCACACAGGUGCAGGCCUCCUACACGGGGUGGUGACCAAAGGGCCUCUGCCCAGGCUCCCUAGGAUUUGUUGAUUCCAGGCCAGCUUUCACAUUAGCUUCACCGAUUGUGGAAAGGAUGUGAGAUUGGAGGGCCGGAAGCGGGGCUCAAGAUAGAGACCAUUGAGGUGGCAUAAGUAACUGGCCUGGCUUUGGGGAAGCGUUCUUCCAAUCUGAAGCAGCUUCCAGCACUUGGAAGGUGUUCUGGAGUUGUUCCUGCUACAGCGGCCGUGACCCAGCGGCAGAGGCCCGGCUGCUCCGAGACCGGCCUCCCUGCCUCCUUCCAGCCCCACAUCGCGUCUGCACACGGAGGGCCUCGCUCCCCUCACACGGCAAGACAGCACGGCAGAAGAAGACCACUUAAAACAACAGAGAGAGGGAGAGAGAAAUGCUCCAUUCAACAUCUCCCUAGUUACCGAAGGGGACCACGGGCCUCCAGUGCUGGCUGCCCUCGCGAUUUUAAUUAGCGCUGCCCGAGUCAGGAAAUACCAAUACAGAAUGCCCGGUUGAGUUUGUCUUUUGGGUAAACAACAAAUACUUUACUAUUUAAGUAUGCCCCAUGCAAUACUUGGGACCUAUUUCUACUAAGAUAUUAUUGUUUACCUGAAAUUCCGAUUCAACUGGGUGACCUGGAGUUUACCUAGCCUCCCUAUUUUAAUAUUCAAAGAAAAUGAUCUGAAAAUGCUCCCAGGCAAGAUAGGGUCUGCAGUUCCGGCAAGGGGGGGGGCGGGGGGAGCAGAUGUUGCUGAGAUCCCCCGGCUGCAGCAGAGCACUGAGUAGGUUAGGCAUUAAGCCCUGCCACCCGGGCCUACGACGUACGGAAGUGCUUCCUUCGAAGCCUCGGCGAUGACUGACAGUAAAAAUGGAAAUUCCCUCACAUGCAGAUCCAGGGGGCACAAAAAACGAGAACAUCAAGUCCUGCCUGCAGUUACCGAGGGGAGGCGGGAAAAGCAAGCAACAAGAAACCCACAAAAUAAACGGUGACAGAACCAAAUAACUGCGAAAGUGUUUCUUUGCACAGAAGCAAAGAGUUACUCGUAACAGGGAGAGUGGGUUCUGUAAAAGCUUGCCAUUUCCGAAAGGACAGCCUCCCGGGAUCCUUGCAUUCGGCAGGGUCCGCCACGAGCGGUCACGCCACGCACACACUCCUGUCCGCCCACUCCCGGCCGCGUGGCGUCGGACGCCGCAGCUUUCCCUCUGGCCCACGCGGCAGGCUGCGGCCGACGACCUGCAGCUGAGUCCGCGCCACACUUACAAUACAUUCCGGUCGUGCUCCUUGGACUCGCUAACUGGACGCGCCCAUGCGCAGAAGCAGGCUUGUCUUAACCGGGACCCUCGAAGGAACGGCUCUGACGCGCAGAAUGCUGUCCAG
This is an RNA transcript of Mirounga angustirostris (Northern elephant seal), 5144 nucleotides long. It is a transcript of the gene named leucine rich repeat containing 66, with no coding region annotated. The record is from RefSeq and is a predicted model, not a curated record. Lineage: Eukaryota; Metazoa; Chordata; Mammalia; Carnivora; Phocidae. The transcript is spliced from 10 exons.